AAAAUAAUUUAAAUAUAUAAAUAUUAACGAGUACAAUUCUCUUUCUAUCUCAAUGGGCAAAAUAGUAAUUAAAUUACACAAAGAACAAAAAUGUCUUUAAAAAACUCAAAAUACGAACAGAAUUUUACAACUGGAUUACAUUUCUUUGUCCUUCCUGAAGAGCCUGUUUUGCCUUUUGAGCGGCUUCUGAUGUUGUGAGCUUCAUCGGAAUCGUCCAUCAACCUCUGAAUGCUAUCUCUGCUCACCAUUCACCAGCUUCUCCCUCUCCCCAUAACUAAUGCCAAGCCACUCUGUGGCACCCACCUCCACCCCAAUCCCAUGCAUCUCUCAUCGGAACCCCAGCAGUAACAGCCUCCAAGGGCUGGAUUUGCGAAGGAUUUGGGCGUAGGAGGGAGUGGUAAUCACCGUCACGUGCUGCCCGCGUGAGGCGAAGAGUGUUGCUAUGUUGCAGAGAGGGAUCAAAUGCCCCUGUGACAGAAAUUCAUGGCAUAUAUGGAAGGCUUAGAAAAGUCAUUUCUUUCAAGGACUACUUUUUGCGGAAAAGUCAUUGUCUUUUUGCCAAUGCAGGAGAAAAGGAAGGACAUGAACGGACAAAAGGUGAAGAGAAUUUGAGAAGUGAGAUGAGAAUGAAAUCGCCUCAAGUCAUAAGUAUUUCGUUUUACGUUUAAUUAUUAUGUGGACUGAUUAUUUACUAAAUUUUUAAUUAGAUCUAUGAUUUAUUAUUAAAUUCUUAAAUUUUUAAUUAUUUUUUAAUUAG
Long non-coding RNA from Glycine soja, 757 nucleotides. RefSeq lists it as uncharacterized. NCBI's taxonomy places the organism in Eukaryota, Viridiplantae, Streptophyta, Magnoliopsida, Fabales, Fabaceae. The transcript has 3 exons. The record is from RefSeq and is a predicted model, not a curated record.